This 247-nucleotide ribosomal RNA is filed under the name uncultured bacterium. RNAcentral's name for it is "partial 16S ribosomal RNA". It matches the Rfam family "Bacterial small subunit ribosomal RNA", at positions 524 to 770 of the family's 1533-position model. The record is from RNAcentral.
UACGAAGGGUGCAAACGUUGCUCGGAAUUAUUGGGCGUAAAGCGCACGUAGGCGGCUUAGCAAGUCGGAAGUGAAAGCCCUCGGCUCAACCAAGGAAGUGCUUUCGAAACUGCUGAGCUUGAGUAGUUAAGAGGAUCGCGGAAUUCCCGGUGUAGAGGUGAAAUUCGUAGAUAUCGGGAGGAACACCAGUGGCGAAGGCGGCGAUCUGGGAACAUACUGACGCUGAGGUGCGAAAGCGUGGGGAGCA